CCCUACGGGAGGCAGCAGUAGGGAAUCUUCCGCAAUGGACGAAAGUCUGACGGAGCAACGCCGCGUGAGUGAUGAAGGUUUUCGGAUCGUAAAGCUCUGUUGUUAGGGAAGAACAAGUACCGUUCGAAUAGGGCGGUACCUUGACGGUACCUAACCAGAAAGCCACGGCUAACUACGUGCCAGCAGCCGCGGUAAUACGUAGGUGGCAAGCGUUGUCCGGAAUUAUUGGGCGUAAAGGGCUCGCAGGCGGUUCCUUAAGUCUGAUGUGAAAGCCCCCGGCUCAACCGGGGAGGGUCAUUGGAAACUGGGGAACUUGAGUGCAGAAGAGGAGAGUGGAAUUCCACGUGUAGCGGUGAAAUGCGUAGAGAUGUGGAGGAACACCAGUGGCGAAGGCGACUCUCUGGUCUGUAACUGACGCUGAGGAGCGAAAGCGUGGGGAGCGAACAGGAUUAGAUACCCUGGUAGUC
This 467-nucleotide ribosomal RNA is filed under the name Bacillus subtilis. Its description in RNAcentral is "bacterial SSU rRNA". It matches the Rfam family "Bacterial small subunit ribosomal RNA", at positions 337 to 795 of the family's 1533-position model. Lineage: Bacteria; Bacillati; Bacillota; Bacilli; Caryophanales; Bacillaceae. The record is from RNAcentral.